Molecule: ribosomal RNA, 433 nt
Filed under: uncultured bacterium
Lineage: Bacteria
Description: partial 16S ribosomal RNA
Rfam family: Bacterial small subunit ribosomal RNA
Source: RNAcentral
AACGAACGCUGUCGGCAUUCCUAACACAUGCAAGUCGAACGAGACCUUCGGGUCUAGUGGCGCACGGGUGCGUAACGCGUUGGAACCUGCCCUUAGGUUCGGAAUAACUCCCCGAAAGGGGUGCUAAUACCGGAUAAUGUCUUCGGCCCAAAGAUUUAUCGCCUUUGGAUGGGCCCGCGUUGGAUUAGCUAGUUGGUAGGGUAAAAGCCUACCAAGGCGACGAUCCAUAGCUGGUCUGAGAGGAUGAUCAGCCACACUGGGACUGAGACACGGCCCAGACUCCUACGGGAGGCAGCAGUGGGGAAUAUUGGACAGUGGGCGAAAGCGUGAUCCAGCAAUGCCGCGUGAGUGAUGAAGGCCUUAGGGUUGUAAAGCUGUUUUACCCGGGAUGAUAAUGACAGUACCGGGAGAAUAAGCUCCGGCUAACUCCGUG